UACGGGGGGGGCAAGCGUUGUUCGGAAUUACUGGGCGUAAAGGGCGCGUAGGCGGCCUGCUAAGUCGGAUGUGGAAUCCCUCGGCUCAACCGAGGAACUGCAUCCGAUACUGGCGGGCUUGAAUCCGGGAGAGGGAUGUGGAAUUCCAGGUGUAGCGGUGAAAUGCGUAGAUAUCUGGAGGAACACCGGUGGCGAAGGCGGCAUCCUGGACCGGUAUUGACGCUGAGGCGCGAAAGCUAGGGGAGCAAACGGG
This 253-nucleotide ribosomal RNA is filed under the name uncultured bacterium. RNAcentral's name for it is "partial 16S ribosomal RNA". It matches the Rfam family "Bacterial small subunit ribosomal RNA", at positions 524 to 776 of the family's 1533-position model. The record is from RNAcentral.